GUUCCCCCAAUAAACCUCCUGUACUCAGUCCUCUACCAAGAGUCUGCUUCCGGGGGAAUUUGCCCUAAGAUAGUCGUAACAGGACUGGCCCUAGGAAGGAGACUCUAAAAUGAUAUUUUGGAGCUCCAUCAUCCACUUGCUGGUUUACAAUGAUCUCAUCAUAGACAGCAGAGAAGAGCAUCUCUCUCAGAGGAGGCACUGAACAGCCAAAUACACAGAAGAACUUGUUCGGUUGACAUCCUUCCAUCAGCUUCUGCUAUUGGCCACCUGGAUGCUGGUAAAAUGGGCAGAGAGGUAUAUCAGCCACAACUGUAAACUGGAGAGAACAAGAGCCUCCUAUCCUCUAGGAUUGCUAUGUACCUAAGAUUGUGGUCUGUAUUUCCUGUGACAAGAUUCCUUCCUGAUGAUUUAUCAAGGAAGAGGUUCUUACUUUUAGAUUCAGGUCUCUCUGUGAAAAACAUGUUAACCUAGAAAGUUGUCUCACCAAACACUAGGAAAUGUGGCAUAAUUGGAUAUCAACUUUGAUGCAUUGAUUUUUAAUGGAACAUCAGCAUCUGAU
RNAcentral lists this long non-coding RNA (559 nucleotides) under Homo sapiens (human). RNAcentral describes it as "HSALNT0298232". Lineage: Eukaryota; Metazoa; Chordata; Mammalia; Primates; Hominidae. The record is from RNAcentral.